This 131-nucleotide small RNA is filed under the name Pan troglodytes (chimpanzee). RNAcentral's name for it is "processed transcript". The record is from RNAcentral. Lineage: Eukaryota; Metazoa; Chordata; Mammalia; Primates; Hominidae.
CUCCCUAGCUGACUUGCUCCCUCCCGGGCUGCGGCUGCUGCAAAAGCCAGCAGCGGCAGCGGGAGCUGUCCGGAGGCCGGCGUCGAGCCAAUGGGGCCCCCCCCCGAGUGCUGCAGCAGCUGGUUGAGGAG